ACAAUGAUGAAAUCCUGGCAUUGAGUUUUAAAGGUGAUAUUGCCUUUUGUCCUCUAAGAAGUUCUGAGUCU
Molecule: small nucleolar RNA, 71 nt
Organism: Polypterus senegalus (gray bichir)
Lineage: Eukaryota; Metazoa; Chordata; Cladistia; Polypteriformes; Polypteridae
Product: small nucleolar RNA SNORD61
Exons: 1
Source: RefSeq, a predicted model, not a curated record